RNAcentral lists this ribosomal RNA (443 nucleotides) under uncultured bacterium. RNAcentral's name for it is "bacterial SSU rRNA". It matches the Rfam family "Bacterial small subunit ribosomal RNA", at positions 954 to 1391 of the family's 1533-position model. The record is from RNAcentral.
GCUAAACGCGAAGAACCUUACCAGCCCUUGACAUGUCGGUCGCGGAUUACAGAGAUGUUUUCCUUUCAGUUAGGCUGGACCGAACACAGGUGCUGCAUGGCUGUCGUCAGCUCGUGUCGUGAGAUGUUGGGUUAAGUCCCGCAACGAGCGCAACCCUCGCCCUUAGUUGCCAGCAUUCAGUUGGGCACUCUAAGGGGACGUGCCGGUGAUAAGCCGAGAGGAAGGUGGGGAUGACGUCAAGUCCUCAUGGCCCUUACGGGCUGGGCUACACACGUGCUACAAUGGUGGUGACAGUGGGCAGCGAGACAGCGAUGUCGAGCUAAUCUCCAAAAGCCAUCUCAGUUCGGAUUGUCCUCUGCAACUCGAGGGCAUGAAGUUGGAAUCGCUAGUAAUCGCGGAUCAGCACGCCGCGGUGAAUACCGUUCCCGGGUCUUGUACACACC